This 2502-nucleotide unclassified non-coding RNA is filed under the name Owenia fusiformis. RNAcentral describes it as "misc RNA OFUS_LOCUS7772". The stretch from base 2274 to 2502 matches the Rfam family "Eukaryotic small subunit ribosomal RNA", at positions 751 to 962 of the family's 1831-position model. Lineage: Eukaryota; Metazoa; Annelida; Polychaeta; Sabellida; Oweniidae. The record is from RNAcentral.
UUGGAUUAACCCCCCGUACAUGUUCUAGAUUAAUUGCAAUUUAAGUUGUAUUUAUUAAUAGAGUUUAAGAAAUAUAGGGUUAAUAUCUAAGGUUGUUAUUUCUUCAUGUAAUAAACAAUGUUCUUGUAGUGCUUUCAUAGGCACCUAGACAUUUAUUUUGCGUUUGAAAUUAUUGUGUUAUAUAGUAUCAAAAGGGUACUUAUUGCAGUUAACUGGUUAUGGUUACACACUUCCUAUUUUGUUUCUUGAGAAAAUAUUCCGAAGCCUUACGCAUGUGUGUUUUUAGAAAAACUUUAAAUGAUUAUGAUUUUGAUUUUUUAACAACGUAAAGGUCAGAACUGUUUAUAUAAAGAUCAAACGUUGAAGUUGGAUACCACAGAAACGUUUAAACCAGAACAGCUAACUGAAAUAGAAGCGCCGUGAUAAGGAAAAAAGGGGUAGUUCUAACCCAGUCAUGAUCAUGUCAUAGACAAGAGGUUGAUUGAGGAACAAAACCGAUUAUAGACUGGAGCCAGAUUUUGUGGAAAAGCAUAUUGUAGAAGCACAGCUCUGAAAAUACAAACUUAGGAAAUACAUUUUGGGGAAAUACAAAUUGCCGCCAUGACGGAAGAGACCGAGAGGCAGCUAAAGAUGGCAAAGCUGGCGUAUACACAGAACAAUAUAACUGAGUUAAAGACUGGAGUGUUGAUGUUGUUCGAGCAAUUCAGCACAAUAAUGGGAGCCACAGAGAAAAGCAUCGAAUGCAAGGACAUGCUCAAGCGAUUUGACAAUGUGGACCAUAAAGUGUGGACCUCAAUCCGAGAUAAAUACGUCCACGAUGAGUUUUACGAAUAUCAUAGGGGGAAUUUCACAAGCGAGGAACUCAAAGAUCCAGCUAAAGUGCUGUUCGAUUUCACCAACGAGAUGCAUUUGGUAAAGGACGCAGUAGUGCAGAAAAUCGAGGACUGUAUGAACAAGGAAUACCAAUUGAAUCAAGAAAUCAAAGGCCUUCAAGAUGAUCUGUGGAAAGUCAAGAAUGACAAUACGAACAUGCAAGUACAGAAGAACGCCGAUAGGGCAGAGAUGAACGUAUCCAAGGCAACGACGGGUCACUACGAGAAACUGAUCAAUGAAAAGAAUGAACAAAUUGCUCAGUUAAAAAGAGAAAAUACAGUGCAAUUAUGGGCUAAAGAAAAAGAAAAGAUUUUACAUGAUGCAAAUAUGAAAGCAACUAAACUCGAAAGUGAAAUCUUACAACUAAAAACAGAAAACCUCGAUAUGAAAGUAAGAAUGCAGAAAAAAAUAAAUGAAUUAGAAGAUUCAAACCGGAUGAUGAAAAUGAAAUCAGAAAUGAGAAUCGGACCUUCUAAAACAGAGAAAAAAUCGGAAACGGAUCAAUUAAAGAAUAAGCUCCACUAUAUGGAGAGAGAUGUUAAUAAGAUGGAAAAUGAGCUUGCAAAUCAACAAAAAUACUACAUUGGCAUAUCUAAUGGUCUACGUGUAGAUCACAAAAAAAAUAUGGAAGCCUUGACAGCAAAUGAAUCCCGUUGUCCAGAUGUUCUAGUGAUGAGCGAAUUAAAGAACUAUCAAGCGAAUUUAGAAAAACUUUAUAUUGCUGUACAGGAGGGACGGUUGAAUGAAUUCAGAGCUGACUUACCCGAGCAUUACAUAGCUACAAAUGUGGAUGUGAAAAAAUCCCCGGUAAAGAUGUUCUCAAAAUUAUAUAUUGAAAAUACGGAACAGACUAAGUUUCAACCUAUAAAAGGUGACAUCUCAACAAAGAAGAAUCUCAGAGAAGAAGAUGAAUCAGACAGUGAUGAUGAUGAUGACGUUGGUCUUAAAAAGAGACUGAAUCUCCCAGAUAACCCAACUAUGAUCAACAAAAACGGAAGCAUCAACAUGAUAAAUGCGAUGAAGUACUUUCCACACAUGUCAGCAUCUUUUAUUAAAGAGCAAUACCAACAGUUUAAACUCUAUGACGAAGAUGGCAAUGGAAAAUUAGAUCUCACCGAGCUCAUGGCUGCCAUGACAACAACAAUAGGUCAACAGUUCACACCUGCUCAAAUUAAGGAGGCCAUGUAUGAGGUUGACAAAGACAUGUCCAACUCGAUAGACUUUUACGAAUAUGUUAUGAUAUCAAAUACUAUUUUGAAGAAAAGUGGAAGAUCGGAUGUAUUUAGGAGUGCCUUGGCCAAAGAACAGGGAAAGGCUGUAUCCAAAACGUGUGUGAUACAGUAGAAACAAGAGGCCGAAACAAGAUCUCUGAGUUGAGAUGAAGUCAAUUUUGAUAGAGAAUUACUUUGAAUAAAUUAGGGUGUUCAAAGCAGGCGAGUCGCCUGAAUAAUGUUGCAUGGAAUAAUGGAAUAGAACCUCGAUUCUGUUUUUUUGGAACUGAGGUAAUGAUUAAGAGGAACGGCGGAGUGGGGGGGGGGGUAUUCGUAUGGCGCCGUUAGAGGUGAAAUUCUAGGAUUGGCGCCAGACUGCGUACGAAUUUGCCAUUAUGAUGUAGCACUAGGCUACAAC